UCCGUAGGGCGCAAGCGUUGUCCGGAAUUAUUGGGCGUAAAGAGCUCGUAGGCGGCUUGUCACGUCGGGUGUGAAAGCCCGGGGCUUAACCCCGGGUCUGCAUUCGAUACGGGCUGGCUAGAGUGUGGUAGGGGAGAUCGGAAUUCCUGGUGUAGCGGUGAAAUGCGCAGAUAUCAGGAGGAACACCGGUGGCGAAGGCGGAUCUCUGGGCCAUUACUGACGCUGAGGAGCGAAAGCGUGGGGAGCGAACAGG
Molecule: ribosomal RNA, 253 nt
Filed under: uncultured bacterium
Lineage: Bacteria
Description: partial 16S ribosomal RNA
Rfam family: Bacterial small subunit ribosomal RNA
Source: RNAcentral